RNAcentral lists this ribosomal RNA (406 nucleotides) under uncultured bacterium. RNAcentral describes it as "partial 16S ribosomal RNA". It matches the Rfam family "Bacterial small subunit ribosomal RNA", at positions 30 to 526 of the family's 1533-position model. The record is from RNAcentral.
AUUGAACGCUGGCGGCAGGCCUAACACAUGCAAGUCGAACGAGUGGCGGACGGGUGAGUUAUGUCUGGGAAACUGCCCGAUGGAGGGGGAUAACUACUGGAAACGGUAGCCAAUACCGCAUACAUUCGGAUAUGCCCAGAGGGGAUUAGCUAGUAGGUGGGGUAACGGCUCACCUCGGCGACGAUCCCUAGCUGGUCUGAGAGGAGGCCCAGCAACACUGGAACUGAGACACGGUCCAGACGCCUACGGGAGGCAGCAGUGGGGAAUAUUGCACAAUGGGCGCAAGCCUGAUGCAGCCAUGCCGCGUGUAUGAAGAAGGCCUGCGGGUUGUAAAGUACUUUCAGCGAGGAGGCGUUACUCGCAGAAGAAGCACCGGCUAACUACGUGCCAGCAGCCGCGGUAAUAC